This 468-nucleotide ribosomal RNA is filed under the name uncultured bacterium. Its description in RNAcentral is "partial 16S ribosomal RNA". It matches the Rfam family "Bacterial small subunit ribosomal RNA", at positions 28 to 507 of the family's 1533-position model. The record is from RNAcentral.
GACGAACGCUGGCGGCGUGCUUAACACAUGCAAGUCGAACGGAAAGGCCCUGCUUUUGUGGGGUGCUCGAGUGGCGAACGGGUGAGUAACACGUGAGUAACCUGCCCUUGACUUUGGGAUAACUUCAGGAAACUGGGGCUGAUACCGGAUAGGAGCUCCUGCUGCAUGGUGGGGGUUGGAAAGUUUCGGCGGUUGGGGAUGGACUCGCGGCUUAUCAGCUUGUUGGUGGGGUAGUGGCUUACCAAGGCUUUGACGGGUAGCCGGCCUGAGAGGGUGACCGGCCACAUUGGGACUGAGAUACGGCCCAGACUCCUACGGGAGGCAGCAGUGGGGAAUAUUGCACAAUGGGCGGAAGCCUGAUGCAGCAACGCCGCGUGUGGGAUGACGGCCUUCGGGUUGUAAACCGCUUUCGCCUGUGACGAAGCGUGAGUGACGGUAAUGGGUAAAGAAGCACCGGCUAACUACGUG